CUACGGGACGCAGCAGUAGGGAAUUUUGCGCAAUGGGCGAAAGCCUGACGCAGCAACACCGCGUGUGGGAUGAAGCUUUUCGGAGUGUAAACCACUGUCAGAGGGGACGAAACCUGACGGUACCCUCAAAGGAAGCAUCGGCUAACUACGUGCCAGCAGCCGCGGUAAGACGUAGGAUGCAAGCGUUGUCCGGAAUUAUUGGGCGUAAAGCGUUCGUAGGCGGCCUGUAAAGUCGGAUGUUAAAGCCCGGGGCUCAACCCCGGUUCAGCAUUGGAUACUUGCAAGCUAGAGUGCAGGAGAGGCAAGGGGAAUUCCUAGUGUAGCGGUGAAAUGCGUAGAUAUUAGGAGGAACACCGGUGGCGAAAGCGCCUUGCUGGACUGUAACUGACGCUGAGGGACGAAAGCCAGGGGAGCAAAUGGGAUUAGAUACCCUCGUAGUC
This 440-nucleotide ribosomal RNA is filed under the name uncultured bacterium. RNAcentral's name for it is "partial 16S ribosomal RNA". It matches the Rfam family "Bacterial small subunit ribosomal RNA", at positions 339 to 795 of the family's 1533-position model. The record is from RNAcentral.